Long non-coding RNA from Paramisgurnus dabryanus, 1261 nucleotides. RefSeq lists it as uncharacterized. The record is from RefSeq and is a predicted model, not a curated record. NCBI's taxonomy places the organism in Eukaryota, Metazoa, Chordata, Actinopteri, Cypriniformes, Cobitidae.
AGCAAGAUCUCCUGAUGGGUUGUAGAAGAUUUUGGUCGGGGGUGAUAGGCUAACAGAAGGUAACAGCCGAAAUGUCCAAUGGGCUUUGCGGAUGGGGAGACGGAGGAAGACCGCCUGGAAGGUUUAGUUUUUAAGUUCAAAGACUGGCAUGCUAUCAGGAAUCUUUUUGAGAUUUAUCAUCAAAUCUUCUUUUAUGACAAUUCAGCCAAAGACCAUGGAACACUACUUCGCAAAUAUGCAUCUGUUGAGAUGACGACCAACAGAGGAUCUUUGACGACAAACAGAGGAUCUUUGCCAACCAUGAAGUUUGCUUAGAUGUAUGAACUGAUUUCAUGUUUUCUUGACUGCAGUGCCAGCCUGAAUUUGUUGCUUCACUUCGGGGGCUGUAAGGGCAGUGCCAGCCUGAAUUGGUUGCUUCACACCGGGGGGCUGUAAGGGCAGUGCCAGCAUGAAUUGGUUGCUUCACAUCGGGGCUGUAAGGGCAGUGCCAGCAUGAAUUGGUUGCUUCACAUUGGGGGCUGUAAGGGCAGUGCCAGCAUGAAUUGGCUGCUCUAUAACUUGUACUGCUAACAACACAGCCGCCGACAUAAAUUUAUCAAAAUAUGAAUUUGUUUUACUUUACAUUUUUUAUAUGCUAAUCUGUACUUUGAAUUACAGGUGCAGCAAGGUCCACAUUCGGCGUACAAUGCACACAAACAGUUUGUUGAAUUGGAGAUGACAGCACUUUUCCUGAAUGCAGCAUUUCCACUUGGAGGCAAAAUAAGAAUUUGAUUUAAUUAGCAAACAUUUUUAUAUGCUAAUAUGUACUUUGACUUACAGGUGCAGCAAUGCAAAACAAGGUCCACAUUCGGCGUACAAUGCAUACAAAAAGUUUGUUGAAUUGGAGACGACAGCACUUUUCCUAACUGCAGCAAUGGAGCAUUUCCACUUGGAGGCACCAGGGCCGUGCACAGGGGGGUGGCCCGGUGGCUAGAGCAACUGCCCCUCUGCCCUAAUCAGCUGAGGUGCCCCUCUCACCAACCCGGGUCAAAGUGUUCUGUUACCGCUAGUCUAAAGAUCCACCUUUUCUGGUAAUCCACUUCGUGAUUUCCCGCCCGCUACGCAGCAUCUCUCACAAUCUGUGUCCACUCUUUGAAGGGCGGAGACGACAGUUUGUUGUAUUAGGUAGAUUCAUUACAUUACCUCAGUUGUUAAGCUGCUCAAUUAGUAAUUUGGUAGUUUGAAGCCGAGAGAAGUCGUGUACUAUAUUUAUUUUUGCUUG